RNAcentral lists this transfer RNA (71 nucleotides) under Ophiopholis mirabilis. RNAcentral describes it as "tRNA-Phe". It matches the Rfam family "tRNA". Rfam says of the family: Transfer RNA (tRNA) molecules are approximately 80 nucleotides in length. Their secondary structure includes four short double-helical elements and three loops (D, anti-codon, and T loops). Lineage: Eukaryota; Metazoa; Echinodermata; Ophiuroidea; Amphilepidida; Ophiactidae. The record is from RNAcentral.
GUUAAAGUAGUUAAAAGAAUAACAGAGCUCUGAAGAUGCUAAGAUAGGGCGUUAAAUUCCCCUCUUUAACA